Molecule: long non-coding RNA, 1571 nt
Organism: Sinocyclocheilus anshuiensis
Lineage: Eukaryota; Metazoa; Chordata; Actinopteri; Cypriniformes; Cyprinidae
Exons: 3
Source: RefSeq, a predicted model, not a curated record
GGUCGAAACUGGAGCUAAAGAAGUUGUACUAAAUAUUUCACAUACAUAAUUGACAAUUAGAGGAAGUUUGGAUGGGAAGUCAUCUCGAGUCAAGUUGUGACAAUGACAUGUGACAUCUUUGUGAAAGGACACUAGAACUUCUGUCACUACAUAAACUGAAAGAGUUAUUAGCAGAGUACUGAUCACUAGCCAAUGUUUUUUUUCCAAGCAAAAACAUCAAAUGUAUUUGGUUAUUAAUUGGUCAUUUCUGGUUGACCUAAGGAAUUUGUGACCAUUCUUCCCUCAAGAUCAAAUCUGGGCAAGUCUAGAUGUGUGCGAACGAACUACAAGAAGUGAAAGUUGAUAAUGCUUUACUUGAACAGCCUGAGCCGAGGGCUGACUCGCGCAGUGUCGCCUGUCAGGACAUCUGUAAGGUCAAAGACCAUCGCAAAUUAGCCAUUUGCAGCAUCAUAUGUGGCCUCUCCUGUCUUGGAAUUAUGUCCAUUAUGUACUCCGUCAAGGCCCGAGAGACAAGAAAAAGACUUCAAAACGAAGAUUGUCCAGAAACACGAGAGAUGAUUAAGAAAUACUCAGUAAAGGCGUGUAAAUGGGGUAUUGGGUCCAUUGUAGCCUGGGUGGUUUUAAUUCUCAUCUUUCCAUUGCUGGUGGGAUUUCUGUCCUAUGUUGUAACCUUCAUAGACUGACACUGAAGAAGCUUUUCUACAGUUAAAUGAGCAUCCAAAGCAAAUGAACUGUAAGAGUGCAGAAACAGACUCUUUCAUUGCUCACACUGGACACUGCAUCUAGACUAAACUAUCCAAAAAAGUUACUUGAUGGCAAUAGGUUGGUCAAUAAUGGUCAUUAUUUAAAUUCACUGUGGGUUUCGAAAGGUGCUUGUCCUUAGUCUAGAUCAAAGGUUCACAACUUCCUACCCAUAAUAUAAGAGGAUUCAACAGCUCAACAUUUGCAUUAAAAUUAAAUCACUGCAAUUAAGCCAAUGCAGGUAGUUCAAAAUGGUACAGCAACUUUCAGGAAUUUGUUACAUGCAUGAGAUGGAGCCAUGCAUAAAACCAUCCGUCCAGACAGAAGUUACUGCUACACUUCAGCAAGCUGGUUUUAUUUAUGCUCUUACUGCAAACUGGAAAUGAAACAUUGAGACACUCACAGAGAGCAUAACAUUCAAAUGUUGAGAUAUGGAUGUGGUUACAUUUUUAACGUUCUGUUUUUGUAAAUAAGUCAUACUGUUUCAAUACUUUGUGCUUUUGAUGUUUUGUACACUGCAUGUAUUUCAGGCUUUGUCAUAAAAUGUGUAGCAGUCAAAAUGCAUCUGCUCAUUGUAAACGUCUUACAAACAACUCGACAAAACACUAAAAUACAAAACAGUUCAAUCGUAUUCUAUUAUAAAUACAGAACGCAGACAUCUAUCAAACAAGUUUACACUAAUCAUUCAACAUGUUCAAACACCACAAACAGUAUUAUAAAUCACUACAUCAAAGAUAAACAAAAGACUAAAUUAAGUGAAUGGACUAUAUUUAGAGUGCCUGAGUAAAAGCACAGAAUGCAUUAAACUUUUAAAUCCUUUAUGACUUAUG